UUGAGAGCAGGGCAGCGCAUGGGGAGUGAGUGUAACCACAGUUGACAACACCACCUGCUUUUUUGAGGCCAGUGAAGAAGUCCACAAGUGCCUGCCUUGGUUCUGCUGUGCUUGCAGCUGUCACGGGAUCUGAAGCCAGCCCACUGCUUUCACAGAAUGAAGCUCCAGCUCAUCCACCCAGAUGCCAAGGACCAGGACACCCUCAACCAGUAACACACACUCUCCUUCUUCAAUGACGUUUGUGUUCCUAGAAUCCAUUUUCCUCAGUCAGGCCCUGGCCACGAAGACCCCUGCCUACCGAUCUUCUGUACUAGCCCAGCACGCGUGGACACAUUCAUCUGCACGACAGACAUCAUGGGGCACCUUCUGUGAGCAGGCGCUGGGGAGACAAGGCCAGCCCGCCUCAGUUCCCACGGUACUCAAGAGACAGCAAGCCAGGCCACCCCAGCAUGGUGAGGUGGGCACUGUGUUCACCAACAAUAAAGGCGGACAAAGGUU
Molecule: long non-coding RNA, 498 nt
Filed under: Homo sapiens (human)
Lineage: Eukaryota; Metazoa; Chordata; Mammalia; Primates; Hominidae
Description: LDLRAD4 antisense RNA 3
Source: RNAcentral